RNAcentral lists this ribosomal RNA (269 nucleotides) under uncultured prokaryote. RNAcentral describes it as "partial 16S ribosomal RNA". It matches the Rfam family "Bacterial small subunit ribosomal RNA", at positions 524 to 792 of the family's 1533-position model. The record is from RNAcentral.
UACGGAGGAUCCGAGCGUUAUCCGGAUUUAUUGGGUUUAAAGGGUGCGCAGGCGGGAGAUUAAGUCGGCGGUGAAAUUUUGCAGCUCAACUGUAAAAGUGCCUUCGAAACUGGUUUCCUUGAGUGUAGAUGAAGUAGGCGGAAUUUGUGGUGUAGCGGUGAAAUGCAUAGAUAUCACGAGGAACUCCGAUUGCUAAGGCAGCUUACUAAGCCAUAACUGACGCUCAAGCACGAAGGCGUGGGGAUCAAACAGGAUUAGAUACCCUGGUA